Molecule: long non-coding RNA, 2711 nt
Filed under: Gallus gallus (chicken)
Lineage: Eukaryota; Metazoa; Chordata; Aves; Galliformes; Phasianidae
Source: RNAcentral
GUCACAUUCAGGAUGUAUUUAAUGCCAUAUUUGCCCAGGAUGUCCAAGUUGGUGGAAUCUUUGGCACAGCCCAGAUAGAGGUAUGGAAGGAUCUGGACUGGAAAGGCAGGCUGAUUGCUGGGGAUGGGGCUCCCAUCUGACUCUGUUGCACUGCUGGGUUCCCGGUCGGAUUCACCAUCCGAGCAGUCAGAGCUUAUCCGCAGCCCUCCCAGGCCGAGGACAGAUGCCGGGGGGGAGUUGUUGGGUGAGGAGCUGUCAAGGUUUGUCUCGCAGUGCUCUGAAUAUUCGGUCUGAAACUUGUUAAAGCCACCUUUCAGGUAGUAGGCUUUGCAGCCGUCGUCACGCAGCUUCUGGAGCAGCAGCCCCAGCACGGAGCCGGCGGCCCCGGCGUCCUGCCAGUCAGCGGUCGCCUCGUCGUAGAGCAGUACGGUGUCGGCCUUGCAGCGCUUGACGAAGCGCUCCUUGUCCUCGUGGUUGGGGAUAAUCGAGCGGAUGGGCAGGUUGCCCUUCUUGAGGCGGCGGAGCAUCAGGCCGGGGAUGGCCAGAUUGAUGGCCGUCUCGAUGUGCGAGCUCUCGAACAGCUCGUGCGAGCGGCAGUCGAGCAGCAACAGCGAACGGCCGCCGCCCGACUCCAGCUCCUCCUGCAGCCACUCGGCGCUCUUGCACGGCAUCGCCGCAGCCAUGGGCGCCCGCGGGGAGCUCCCCCAGACCUGCGUUUUCAUGGGGCUCGGCAACAGCCCUCCCCCCACUCCCUUCCGCCGCGGCGGCUCGCCGUGCCGGGCACCGCACGGCCGUAGGUACGCGCUGCCUGCGGCCCGGAGCACAACGGCCCCGCUCUGCCCUACGCGGCGCGCCCCAUCCCGACGGCCUCAAUUAAAGCGGAGCUUCGCCGCCGGCUCUGCGUGUCAUGCCACGGGGGGCGGGCGGGUGGGCGGCGGGGCCAACGCGCCCCGCCCCGUGGAGGCCACGCCCCCGGCGCUCUGCACCAAUGAGGUGCGGCGGGAGGGGGCGGGGGCAAAGCGCGGGAAGGGGCGCGGGGUCCCGCCGAGCGCUGCGGGGUCGGAGCGGCGCUCCGUAACAAAAGCGGCGCUGGCGGAACUCCCUGCCCAUUUGGGGAAGGGGCCUCGAAGCGGAGGGUUCUCGUCGCGCCCGUCUCCUUUUAGGCUAAUUCUUAAGUCCGGCCCCUGCUGGAAACGCGCAGCCGACGCGGCGCUUGCGCACGUGGUUAUCUUCAAGCAGGCUGAGCGUCCCGCUGCAAGGCUGUGUGUGUUCGGCAGGGCCGUGCUCGGAGCCGCGCGCGGAUUUCAUUGCUGUCAGCAACAUAAAUGUCUUUGGCGUUGCUGCUCCGUGUCUCAAGCGUGUGCCCCAGGAAGCGGAAUGGCUGGUUGAAGCCAACCACUUCCCCUUGCUCGGUUUAUUUUUACUGCUGGUUGCUGUGGGAAGCUGUUGUGAUUCAGUGCUGCAGUAGGAAGUCACCAACGCAGCUCUUACAGGAAAGGAUGUUGAGAUUCUUAGGCAAGCCGUGGUGAAAAUAGUUGACCUUUCCGUGUGUUUCACAAAGCGCCUUCAGUCCCUACGAGAAACAGCAAUGGGCUGUGCAAGGAAGGCCCGUCAGGGUUUAAAGCCCUUUGUGUGUUGCACGUACUUUGUGUUCUCAGUGCCCAGAAACUUCCUUGGCUCCCCUUUGGAGGCACGAGGGAGGCAGCCGUAACCACAGUGACAGCAGGAGGGAGAGAUUUCACCUCCAUUUCGUGGUCAUGCUGGCAACCACGGAAGUUUCAGGGUGGGACAGGCUCCAGGCUCGUGUCACCUGCAGAGGUGAGACCAGAUUUCACCCAGCAGCAUUGAGGCAACCUUGCCUCCCCAGCCAGGAGCCGGGGGGCGUGGGGAGAGGGCAGCAGAGCACCCCCGGGUCCUCCCGUGUCCAUCGAUCAGGAGCACGCGUCAUCCCGGCGAAUUCCUCCGACACGCAGCCCUCCCGGGCGUGGAGGCCGUCGGUGGGAUCCGGCGGGGCAGGGCUGGCCGCUGAAGCCGGUGGCAGCCCGUCGGCUUGCUGCCCUCUUGAGUCAGCUGCUCCAAAAUGCAGGGCAGCCAAGAAGUGAGUGCAAACGGGGUGACGAUCCUCCCGCGACAGGUCCGGGCCGUUCCCUCGCCUGUGUCCUUCCCGCAGCCACUUGCUGCCGGAGGACUUCUGCAGAGGAAGACCUCUCUGCUCUGCAGAGCCCUGGGCAUCUCCUUCAAUCUCCUGCACCGUGCACGCCACAUCUGGUUUCCUUCUCCGCAGACAAAAAACAAACAAGGCAGAGCAGAAGCACCUGUCUGGGAUGAGGGUGCUCCAGCAUGACAGUGCGAGCUCUGGUGUUUUGGUGAUGUUAUUCUGGCCACACGCACAGCUUUGCUGAGAUCAAAGCUCAGCACACAUCCAGAAAUGAGCAGCAUUCAGCUCAACUCCAAAGAGUUCCAAGUGCUUGAGAACAAGGAUACACAGUGAUAAAAGUAGGUUGCUUCCUUCUCCAUGUUGUACGAUCAAAACUGGACAGGGGUUUCUAAUAUGCAGAUCUGUGUGCAUCUUUCUGGUUACUGUCCUGCUGUAGGACUCUUCUCCAGCAGCCUUUCUACUUGAUGCCCAUACACCAUUCCCACACUUACAUCCUGGGUUCAGAUUGCCUUUGCUCUGCUCUCCUGUGAUGCUGAUGCAACCACUAGCUCAG